Molecule: ribosomal RNA, 452 nt
Filed under: uncultured bacterium
Lineage: Bacteria
Description: bacterial SSU rRNA
Rfam family: Bacterial small subunit ribosomal RNA
Source: RNAcentral
AACGAACGCUGGCGGCAGGCCUAACACAUGCAAGUCGAGCGCUCUCUUCGGAGGGAGCGGCGGACGGGUGAGUAACGCGUGGGAAUAUGCCCUUGGGUGCGGAACAACCGCUGGAAACGGCGGCUAAUACCGCAUGAUGUCUACGGACCAAAGAUUUAUCGCCCAAGGAUUGGCCCGCGUUGGAUUAGGUAGUUGGUGAGGUCAAAGCUCACCAAGCCGACGAUCCAUACCUGGUUUGAGAGGAUGAUCAGGCACACUGGGACUGAGACACGGCCCAGACUCCUACGGGAGGCAGCAGUGGGGAAUCUUGGACAAUGGGGGCAACCCUGAUCCAGCCAUGCCGCGUGAGCGAUGACGGCCUUAGGGUUGUAAAGCUCUUUCACCGGUGACGAUAAUGACGGUAGCCGGAGAAGAAGCCCCGGCUAACUCCGUGCCAGCCGCCGCCGUAACAC